RNAcentral lists this long non-coding RNA (888 nucleotides) under Capsicum annuum. RNAcentral's name for it is "long non-coding RNA (CANN_LNC001054)". The record is from RNAcentral. Lineage: Eukaryota; Viridiplantae; Streptophyta; Magnoliopsida; Solanales; Solanaceae.
UUAUAAUUAAAAUGGCCUCAAGGCCACCUUUAUUAGAUGGACAAUUUUCAUAAAUUCAAACAGUUUAGUACCUAAUUACAUAAAAUUUUGUCUGUUUUCAUAUUUACGUAAAAUCUCAAAUUUUCAUUCAAUGUCACGAUAAAUAGCUAAGACGCGAUACAUCACCAUCUGAAACAUAAGUAUCGAUACAACAUCUUAUGUAUUAAAAUCAUAGAGAUAUAUUCAGAUUCAUAAGUCUUAUGUAUCAGUAGCACAAAAAAUAUUUCGGUACUUUAUUUUUGUAAAGUUUCAAUCAAGCACAUCUUUUUUAUGUAUUUGAAACCUAAUAUUCAGUAAGAUACAUAGCUUUUGUACAUUUGAUGGAGGAUCGCAUGAAAUAUCUUUUUGUUAUUUUCUACCUGAUGCAUCAUUCUUAUGUAUCUCCGAACUCUCUUAACAUACACUAUUCUUGUGCAUCUUCAUUAACAUCAUCAUCUUCAACUUCUAUUGAUGAAUCUCUGAACUUCAGAAUUUCUCAUGGCUUGAACUGUCAUGUACACUAUCGUGGAUUCAAGAUAUGAUGGUGGAGGAAGUUGUGGAUUCGAGAUCUGAUUUGAGAUCUGUAUAUGAAUUUUGUACAUAUCAUUUGAGAUCUGUAUAUACAUUUGGGAACUGAUGGUGGAGGAUGCCAUCGUGAACCUUUCUCCGACCACUCCUGACCACCAUUGAAGCAUAAUUUUUGGAUUAGGCUUCUCUGAUGAAAUAAGAUCAUCUGGAUCAGAAUGUACACAUAUUUGUUCAUUGUAUAUCAUUCCAACUCGUUAUCAUUCUCAUGACCUAAUAGAAUAAAAAUUGGAAGCCAUUAGAGUGUACAGAUGGAAAAUUGAAAAUUGGCAAAGUGAAAUGAAA